GAUCCUUUGCUAAGGUAUUGUGU
RNAcentral lists this non-coding RNA (23 nucleotides) under Mus musculus (house mouse). Lineage: Eukaryota; Metazoa; Chordata; Mammalia; Rodentia; Muridae. The record is from RNAcentral.